Molecule: ribosomal RNA, 440 nt
Filed under: uncultured bacterium
Lineage: Bacteria
Description: partial 16S ribosomal RNA
Rfam family: Bacterial small subunit ribosomal RNA
Source: RNAcentral
CCUACGGGGGGCAGCAGUGGGGAAUAUUGCACAAUGGGGGAAACCCUGAUGCAGCGACGCCGCGUGAGUGAAGAAGUAUCUCGGUACGUAAAGCUCUAUCAGCAGGGAAGAAAAUGACGGUACCUGACUAAGAAGCCCCGGCUCACUACGUGCCAGCAGCCGCGGUAAUACGUAGGGGGCAAGCGUUAUCCGGAUUUACUGGGUGUAAAGGGAGCGUAGACGGGAGCACAAGUCUGGAGUGAAAUCCCGGGGGCUAACCCCGGAACUGCUUUGGAAACUGUGCGGCUGGAGUGCAGGAGGGGUAAGCGGAAUUCCUGGUGUAGCGGUGAAAUGCGUAGAUAUUAGGAGGAACACCGGUGGCGAAGGCGGCUUACUGGACUGUAACUGACGUUGAGGCUCGAAAGCGUGGGGAGCAAACAGGAUUAGAUACCCCGGUAGUC